This 77-nucleotide transfer RNA is filed under the name Candidatus Uhrbacteria bacterium. RNAcentral describes it as "tRNA-Arg". It matches the Rfam family "tRNA". Rfam says of the family: Transfer RNA (tRNA) molecules are approximately 80 nucleotides in length. Their secondary structure includes four short double-helical elements and three loops (D, anti-codon, and T loops). Lineage: Bacteria; Candidatus Uhriibacteriota. The record is from RNAcentral.
GCACUCGUAGCUCAGCUGGAUAGAGCNNCAGCUUGCGGAGCUGAGGGUCGCAGGUUCAAAUCCUGCCGAGUGCACCA